This 160-nucleotide ribosomal RNA is filed under the name Phytophthora infestans (potato late blight agent). Its description in RNAcentral is "5.8S ribosomal RNA". The stretch from base 1 to 132 matches the Rfam family "5.8S ribosomal RNA", at positions 24 to 154 of the family's 154-position model. From Rfam's summary of the family: 5.8S ribosomal RNA (5.8S rRNA) is a component of the large subunit of the eukaryotic ribosome. It is transcribed by RNA polymerase I as part of the 45S precursor that also contains 18S and 28S rRNA. Lineage: Eukaryota; Oomycota; Peronosporomycetes; Peronosporales; Peronosporaceae. The record is from RNAcentral.
GCUCGCACAUCGAUGAAGAACGCUGCGAACUGCGAUACGUAAUGCGAAUUGCAGGAUUCAGUGAGUCAUCGAAAUUUUGAACGCAUAUUGCACUUCCGGGUUAGUCCUGGAAGUAUGCCUGUAUCAGUGUCCGUACAACAAACUUGGCUUUCUUCCUUCC